Long non-coding RNA from Vidua chalybeata, 1017 nucleotides. RefSeq lists it as uncharacterized. Lineage: Eukaryota; Metazoa; Chordata; Aves; Passeriformes; Viduidae. The transcript is spliced from 5 exons. The record is from RefSeq and is a predicted model, not a curated record.
GGCCAUGUUGUGCGGGGGGAGGGGAGCAAGGAGUUGAGAGGAGACGGCGGAGGCUCCCUCACACACACGGCACAAGAUGGCCGGGGAGCAGCCGCAGCUCCCGCCCGUCUCCCGGCGCUGUCCCCGCCGCUCGCACCGGAGACGCCCGGCGGGCGCCCUCGGUGCCGCUCCCGGGCGCCAAAUCGGGCCCGGCGCUCUGUGGGCUCCGGGGCUUCGGAGGGCGGCGAGCCGGGCUGCCGAGCGGGGCUGCCGACGGUCGGGCAGCAAUGGCGCCGGGCUGCCGAGCGCUGCCCGCGCCGCUCCCUCGCCGGGCGGGCGCGGGGCUGCCCUUGACCGCGGGCAGGGAGAGCCGGGAGCAGCGCCCCGUCCUCGGGGCCCCGGGUGCCUGUCAGCGGGCUGCUCUUCGCCGGGUAGGAUUUCGUGAGCAGAACCUUAUUUCCUGACUACCUUCCAGAGGAUUCAUUCAUGCCUUAUUUUUCUUAGGGCUAUUACUGGAUAUUGUUCUUCCAAAGGUUCAGAUGACUAGUUGGGCAAAAGACCUUGAACAAAAUUCUGUACUGUGCGUGCCAGAUGUGUUGAGGAAUUGAUUUACUCACUGUAAGCAAAGUAGCUGCUCUUGGUUGAAGCACUGAAUCCAUUCAGAUGAAGAGUGUCAAAAGGAGUCUACGAAUGAGACACCAAGAUGGCAGUUCCACUGGGGAAUGAGAGGUUGAGGAAAUGGACUAAUGCAUGAGUGCUGGGAUGUCUGUCCAAGACAAGGAUGUUAAAACGUGGACUCUCAUGUUAUUAAAUCAGAGAAGAUCUGGGUUGUGAUCAUCCUAUCAAAAUGGACUUUGCAUUUGAAUUAAUCAGUGGCUAUCCAAUGAUGGAUCUGUUUGAGGACUGGGUGGCAAAAUUUUCCUUUUGGGUUGUUUUUGCAUGACAGGCAAAUUAAUUUGGUAAAAGAUCUGUUGCUACUGCUUUUGAGAAAAUGUAAUUUAUAAAGUGACUUUAAAUAAAAGGUUUUGGUUUAUUUCA